GACCCCAGAAAGACUAUCUGGUUGAUAGGUCGAAGGUGUAAGUGCAGCAAUGUAUUUAGCUUAUCGAUACUAAUAGGUCGAGGACUUGACCAAAUU
RNAcentral lists this ribosomal RNA (96 nucleotides) under Clostridioides difficile. RNAcentral's name for it is "partial 23S ribosomal RNA". It matches the Rfam family "Bacterial large subunit ribosomal RNA", at positions 2832 to 2925 of the family's 2925-position model. The record is from RNAcentral. Lineage: Bacteria; Bacillati; Bacillota; Clostridia; Peptostreptococcales; Peptostreptococcaceae.